RNAcentral lists this ribosomal RNA (791 nucleotides) under Triticum aestivum (bread wheat). Its description in RNAcentral is "partial small subunit ribosomal RNA". Lineage: Eukaryota; Viridiplantae; Streptophyta; Magnoliopsida; Poales; Poaceae. The record is from RNAcentral.
AGGAGAGGCAAUCCAACCUUAUACAUCAAACAUCCGCCCAUAUUUUAAACCGAUAAUUGACAAACAGAUGAAAUUCAUGAAAAUCAAACAAAAUUUAAGCUAGUCUUAUAUUACACGUCGACAUGAUGAUCCUGGACAGAUCCUCGACCCAGGUCAAUGCAAGGUCUGUUUCGGCGUGCACCCAGUGUCCCAUUCUAGCACCAUGUGAUGAUCCUGGACAAAUCCUUGGCCCGGGUCAACGCAAGGUCUGUUUCGGCGCGCACCCAGUCUAGCACCACGUCCGACGUCGCGAAGAACGAACGGCACAUCGCGUUGCACUUCUCCGGCACUCCUCCAGAAUGCCGCCCUAUCAGUUGUCGUCCUAUUGCGCGAGGAGGCGACGCCGCCGCCACAUCCGAGGUAGUAGACGAGGAGGUCGCGCGUGUUGGCUAUCGUCAGCGCGAGAGCCUUCUCCUCCUUCUUCAUUGGGCGCCACUAGCCCCGGACUCGCAGACUAGCUCUUUGUCGUGCUUGAAAUGGCUCGGCGGGGACGCCGGCUGGACGAGGUGCCCGUACUAGCUGGCGGGGACAACGGCCAUGUCUUGACGCGGUGCUGCGAUGGGGCCGCCGACUCCUCCUUGACGCAGGUGUGCGGCAUGGAGGGUGGAUUCUCCUUGGCGCGGCGGUCUUACGAAGGCGAGGGCGUGCCGGACCGCGGUCGAGGAGCGACAGCUGGAGCAGCAACUCGGUCCGCCUCACAUACUUGUCGUCCAUCCACGCGGCCUCGGAGAGGAGGCGUGGCUGCUGAUCCU